This 432-nucleotide small RNA is filed under the name Histoplasma ohiense. RNAcentral's name for it is "hypothetical lncRNA". The record is from RNAcentral. Lineage: Eukaryota; Fungi; Ascomycota; Eurotiomycetes; Onygenales; Ajellomycetaceae.
AGAGAACCGAUUAUACAUAAAGUUACAAAAUCAAAUCAAUCAAUCAAAUCCAUUAUAUCAAUGAAUCUAUGGUCCCUUUCAAUAUCAUGAAGCUUUGAUUUACGAUAGUACUAGUAUCGAUGUUGAAGAAGUUCUUUUAAAGACUAGUAGUGGUGGCAGUUAGUGAGGAAGACAAGAGUAUUCUUGACAGUCCAUUGGUGGUUCUUGGAAAGGCUCUUGCGGUAGAUGAAGGAAAUAGCAAUGACAGUGACAGCAGCGGCAGUGACUUACAUACUAGUAGUCAGUAGAUUCAUCAAAUCAUACCUUUGCUUGACAAUAUCCUUUCAAUCCCAUAUUGAUACAGAAUCAGCGUUUCCACCCAGUUUUUGUAUGAGCCUUUUCAUCAUUUGGUCCUGCUUUCCAUGUGUUCCAUCAUCAUUCCCAUCAAGAUGU